GCUGGAUGCUGACGAGCGGCGGACGGGUGAGUAAUGCGUAGGAAUCUGCCCGGUAGUGGGGGAUAACCUGGGGAAACCCAGGCUAAUACCGCAUACGUCCUACGGGAGAAAGGGGGCUUCGGCUCCCGCUAUCGGAUGAGCCUAUGUCGGAUUAGCUAGUUGGUGAGGUAAAGGCUCACCAAGGCAACGAUCCGUAGCUGGUCUGAGAGGAUGAUCAGCCACAUCGGGACUGAGACACGGCCCGAACUCCUACGGGAGGCAGCAGUGGGGAAUAUUGGACAAUGGGGGCAACCCUGAUCCAGCCAUGCCGCGUGUGUGAAGAAGGCCCUCGGGUUGUAAAGCACUUUCACCGAGGAAGAACGCCUAGCGGUUAAUACCCGCUAGGAAAGACAUCUCUCGCAUAAAAAACGCCGGCUAACUCCGUGCCAGCAGCCGCGGGAAUACGGAGGGUGCAAGCGUUAAUCGGAAUUACUGGGCGUAAAGCGCGCGUAGGUGGCUUGAUAAGCCGGUUGUGAAAGCCCCGGGCUCAACCUGGGAACGGCAUCCGGAACUGUCAAGCUAGAGUGCAGGAGAGGAAGGUAGAAUUCCCGGUGUAGCGGUGAAAUGCGUAGAGAUCGGGAGGAAUACCAGUGGCGAACGCGGCCUUCUGGACUGACACUGACACUGAGGUGCGAAAGCGUGUGUAGCAGACAGGA
This 695-nucleotide ribosomal RNA is filed under the name uncultured bacterium. RNAcentral's name for it is "bacterial SSU rRNA". It matches the Rfam family "Bacterial small subunit ribosomal RNA", at positions 79 to 777 of the family's 1533-position model. The record is from RNAcentral.